Molecule: ribosomal RNA, 495 nt
Filed under: uncultured bacterium
Lineage: Bacteria
Description: bacterial SSU rRNA
Rfam family: Bacterial small subunit ribosomal RNA
Source: RNAcentral
AAUAAACGCUGGCGGCGUGCCUAACACAUGCAAGUCGAGCGAGAAAGCUCCUUCGGGAGUUAGUAAAGCGGCGAACGGGUGAGCAACACGUGAGAAUCUACCCUUUAGUGAAGAAUACCCUCGAGAAAUCGAGGCUAAUACUGCAUACGUCCCUUCGGGGAGAAAGAUGGCCUCUUUGCUAUCGCUAAAGGAUGAGCUUGCGUACUAUUAGCUAGUUGGCGGGGUAAAGGCCCACCAAGGCAAUGAUGGUUAACCGGCCUGAGAGGGUGUACGACCACAAUGGGACUGAGACACGGCCCAUACUCCUACGGGAGGCAGCAGUGGGGAAUAUUGCACAAUGGGCGAAAGCCUGAUGCAGCGACGCCGCGUGGAGGAAGAAGGUCUUCGGAUUGUAAACUCCUGUUGAGUGAGAAGAAAGACGGCUGGUUAAUACCCAGCUGAGAUGACGGUAUCACUCGAGAAAGCACCGGCAAACUUCGUGCCAGCAGCCGCGGU